This 277-nucleotide long non-coding RNA is filed under the name Brassica napus (rape). RNAcentral's name for it is "long non-coding RNA (BNAP_LNC004567)". Lineage: Eukaryota; Viridiplantae; Streptophyta; Magnoliopsida; Brassicales; Brassicaceae. The record is from RNAcentral.
GUGUUGACCGAAUACUUGUUGCCCUACUUGCUGCAGUAAUUCUUGAUGUUGUGGCACUUGACUUGGUUUCAUCAUUUGUGAUUGCUUUAAUACUUGUUGUUGUUGCAUAUGAUUUUGUUUCAUCAUCUGUUGUUGCAGCUGAAAUCCUCGCGGUUGUUGUUGCAAAUGGCUUAGGUUAACUUGUGGUUGUUGAAAUCCUUGUGGUUGUUGUUGCCCCAACCCUUGUUUCCCCAAUUCUUGUUGUCCCAACCCUUGUUGUCCCAACCCUUGUUGCCCC